GACGAACGCUGGCGGCGUGCUUAACACAUGCAAGUCGAGCGGUAAGGCCCUUUCGGGGGUACACGAGCGGCGAACGGGUGAGUAACACGUGGGUGACCUGCCCUCAGCUCUGGGAUAAGCCUGGGAAACCGGGUCUAAUACUGGAUAUGACUCCAUGACGCAUGUUGUGGGGUGGAAAGCCUUGUGCGGCUGAGGAUGGGCCCGCGGCCUAUCAGCUUGUCGGUGGGGUGANGGCCUACCAAGGCGACGACGGGUAGCCGGCCUGAGAGGGCGACCGGCCACACUGGGACUGAGACACGGCCCAGACUCCUACGGGAGGCAGCAGUGGGGAAUCUUGCGCAAUGGGCGAAAGCCUGACGCAGCGACGCCGCGUGAGGGAUGACGGCCU
RNAcentral lists this ribosomal RNA (388 nucleotides) under uncultured bacterium. RNAcentral describes it as "bacterial SSU rRNA". It matches the Rfam family "Bacterial small subunit ribosomal RNA", at positions 28 to 417 of the family's 1533-position model. The record is from RNAcentral.